UCUCAUUUAAAUGCAAGUUUGACCAAGGGUUGACUUUUUGAUAUAAUCAUUUUUCUACCAUUUGGCCAAUUGAAAUAGCUCAGAAAUGUCAUUUAAAAUGUGUUUGCAAGCUCAAUUAUGCAGUACAUAUGGCCAUUCUUUAACUUGCUUGAAACUUGGCAAAGGUACAUUUUCACCCAUACUUCCAUAAACCAUACUUUGUACCACAACCUAGCAGCAUUCUUCAUCAUUUUUUCUGUCAUUUUGAGUACCCUAGAAGCAGCCCUAACACAGAACUUCAUGCUCCAAAGGCUUUACUUUGGCACUUUUACAAAGAUUGGUAAAAAGAAUUUCCAAAAGGACAAAAACCUUGCCAUGCUUGGUACUUCU
Molecule: long non-coding RNA, 369 nt
Filed under: Lathyrus oleraceus (garden pea)
Lineage: Eukaryota; Viridiplantae; Streptophyta; Magnoliopsida; Fabales; Fabaceae
Description: Pisum sativum (pea) long non-coding RNA (PSAT_LNC030358)
Source: RNAcentral